This 467-nucleotide ribosomal RNA is filed under the name Mammaliicoccus sciuri. RNAcentral's name for it is "bacterial SSU rRNA". It matches the Rfam family "Bacterial small subunit ribosomal RNA", at positions 44 to 492 of the family's 1533-position model. The record is from RNAcentral. Lineage: Bacteria; Bacillati; Bacillota; Bacilli; Caryophanales; Staphylococcaceae.
GUGCCUAAUACAUGCAAGUCGAGCGAACAGAUGAGAAGCUUGCUUCUCUGAUGUUAGCGGCGGACGGGUGAGUAACACGUGGGUAACCUACCUAUAAGACUGGGAUAACUCCGGGAAACCGGGGCUAAUACCGGAUAAUAUUUUGAACCGCAUGGUUCAAUAGUGAAAGACGGUUUCGGCUGUCACUUAUAGAUGGACCCGCGCCGUAUUAGCUAGUUGGUAAGGUAACGGCUUACCAAGGCGACGAUACGUAGCCGACCUGAGAGGGUGAUCGGCCACACUGGAACUGAGACACGGUCCAGACUCCUACGGGAGGCAGCAGUAGGGAAUCUUCCGCAAUGGGCGAAAGCCUGACGGAGCAACGCCGCGUGAGUGAUGAAGGUCUUCGGAUCGUAAAACUCUGUUGUUAGGGAAGAACAAAUUUGUUAGUAACUGAACAAGUCUUGACGGUACCUAACCAGAAAGCC